Molecule: long non-coding RNA, 345 nt
Filed under: Brachypodium distachyon (stiff brome)
Lineage: Eukaryota; Viridiplantae; Streptophyta; Magnoliopsida; Poales; Poaceae
Description: long non-coding RNA (BDIS_LNC001264)
Source: RNAcentral
AGCUGAUCCAGUACAAGCAGUUAGCAGCUUAUAUAGCGGAGAGCUCACUCAUUUGAUCAUAAAUUUCAGAUAUACUUACUACUAGGAGAAUUCUGAUAACAAAGAAUUGCAUAUAAAUUUCACAAAUACUUACUACCAGGAGCAUAUAAAUUACCUUAGACAUCAGGGGUGUACCAUUUUUACUUGUAACCUGCAAUUUUUGUUCAGAAAAUAAUAGUUUACAAAACCAUGAUGUAAAUUAAGUAUAUGCAAAACAUAUGGAGAGUGGCUAAGUUGCAUACACCAUACAUUUUCCCUGGGCCAAGGAAUAGAACGAGCUUGAGCAUUCCCCAUAUUUAAGACCCU